GCCACCCAGUACAGUCUGGGCUUUGUGCUCAGACAAGAAAGGGACACUUGUGAUCCAGACAAUGGGCCGGGGCGCUCCCAUUGGCCUGAGCUUCAUCUUCCCUGGGUCAGCAAUGUCCUUUCCUCUGCUCCUGCCCACUCUGCUCUCACCACUCCCAGGAGAAUGGUGGCUUGGAACACGGAGCAGAAACCCACCACCGGCCCUAGCCGCGGUCUGACAUAUGCCCUGGCCAUGAGGAGGAGGAUGUGAGCUUCUUUCUUCUCCCCGGGCUGAGCUCCAAACUGGUGGGGCCCUUGUCUCCAUCUGGGUCCCCAGCUCCCACCACAGAGCUGGAGUCACUGUGCCAAGAGCUUUAAGGUGGAAUGCUAUGGAAUGUUCCCCAAUCCCUCUGCCCCCAGCAGAGCGAGGGAAGCAGAAAGGCCCCUGGAACACCAGGAGCAAGAAAGAGGCAGGCAGGGCGGCUGGCCAGGUUUGUGCUCGACUGUAUUCACUCAGAGACACGUGGCAGCUUACAUUGGACAAAAUGAGUAAUAAAAAUUGGCUUUAAAUA
Molecule: long non-coding RNA, 550 nt
Organism: Lutra lutra (Eurasian river otter)
Lineage: Eukaryota; Metazoa; Chordata; Mammalia; Carnivora; Mustelidae
Exons: 4
Source: RefSeq, a predicted model, not a curated record